Molecule: ribosomal RNA, 827 nt
Filed under: Sphingobacterium sp.
Lineage: Bacteria; Pseudomonadati; Bacteroidota; Sphingobacteriia; Sphingobacteriales; Sphingobacteriaceae
Description: bacterial SSU rRNA
Rfam family: Bacterial small subunit ribosomal RNA
Source: RNAcentral
AUGAGAGUGGCGCACGGGUGCGUAACGCGUGAGCAACCUACCCAUAUCAGGGGGAUAGCCUCUCGAAAGAGAGAUUAACACCGCAUAACAUCAUUAACCGGCAUCGGAUUAUGAUCAAAUAUUUAUAGGAUAUGGAUGGGCUCGCGUGACAUUAGCUAGUUGGAGGGGUAACGGCCCACCAAGGCUACGAUGUCUAGGGGCUCUGAGAGGAGAAUCCCCCACACUGGUACUGAGACACGGACCAGACUCCUACGGGAGGCAGCAGUAAGGAAUAUUGGUCAAUGGAGGGAACUCUGAACCAGCCAUGCCGCGUGCAGGAUGACUGCCCUAUGGGUUGUAAACUGCUUUUGUCAGGGAAUAAACCUUUCCACGUGUGGGAAGCUGAAUGUACCUGAAGAAUAAGGAUCGGCUAACUCCGUGCCAGCAGCCGCGGUAAUACGGAGGAUCCAAGCGUUAUCCGGAUUUAUUGGGUUUAAAGGGUGCGUAGGCGGUCCUAUAAGUCAGUGGUGAAAGACGGCAGCUUAACUGUCGCAGUGCCUUUGAUACUGUAGGACUUGAAUCUAUUUGAAGUGGGCGGAAUAAGACAAGUAGCGGUGAAAUGCAUAGAUAUGUCUUAGAACUCCGAUUGCGAAGGCAGCUCACUAAGUUAGUAUUGACGCUGAUGCACGAAAGCGUGGGGAUCAAACAGGAUUAGAUACCCUGGUAGUCCACGCCCUAAACGAUGAUAACUCGAUGUUUGCGAUACACAGUAAGCGUCCAAGCGAAAGCGUUAAGUUAUCCACCUGGGGAGUACGGUCGCAAGAUUGAAACUCAAAGGAAUUGACGGG